GACAGAGGGUGCAAACGUUGUUCGGAAUUACUGGGCGUAAAGCGCGUGUAGGCGGCUCGGAAAGUCGGAUGUGAAAGCCCAGGGCUCAACCCUGGAAGUGCACUCGAAACUCCCGAGCUGGAGUCCCGGAGAGGAAGGCGGAAUUCUCGGUGUAGAGGUGAAAUUCGUAGAUAUCGAGAGGAACACCUGUGGCGAAGGCGGCCUUCUGGACGGUGACUGACGCUGAGACGCGAAAGCGUGGGGAGCGAACAGG
This 253-nucleotide ribosomal RNA is filed under the name uncultured bacterium. Its description in RNAcentral is "partial 16S ribosomal RNA". It matches the Rfam family "Bacterial small subunit ribosomal RNA", at positions 524 to 776 of the family's 1533-position model. The record is from RNAcentral.